RNAcentral lists this long non-coding RNA (1389 nucleotides) under Apis florea (little honeybee). Its description in RNAcentral is "uncharacterized LOC116415495". The record is from RNAcentral. Lineage: Eukaryota; Metazoa; Arthropoda; Insecta; Hymenoptera; Apidae.
AUUUUAAAAAUAAAAAAAGCAUUGUACGUAGGAAUCACUUUAUACGAAAACAAUAGUGGCAAUAUAAACAUUGUUAUGUAGAUACGAAUAAAUGUUAUUCGAGCAUUUUAAAUAAUUAUUCGAAAUUCUAAUUAAUUUUUUAAUCCAUUAACGGCUAACUUUGAUAAAGAAGUGUUGUGAAGCGAGAAUCUGGCCGAGUAAGAUAAUAUAUCGUUUUAAUGAUCAUUUUUUUAAAUUCCAGCAAUGUUCCAAGCCCGGUCUGAACACGACGAAGGAAUGGUGGAGAACCCACACGCGUGAGUGGAUUUUUCCAAUCGAUAUGAUUUAAAUGGCGUUUUAAGAAAGCUGAAGACCACGGGGGAAAAACGGACGAGCCGGUGUUCGACUCAAAUUGUAAUUUAUACGGCUAUUACCGUGCCGCACGUUCGCCAUUAUAAAUUGUCGCGCUGUAUCUGCCGGCGUUCUUAUUUAUAGUUCCGUAAAUAAAUACCCGAGAUAAUGUGCCGCGGCCGGCCAGUGUAUUUGCGAUUCUAAUAAGUGUGCAUUUAACGCGAUGUAUUCGGGUAAACCGCGAAUGACGCAUUGCGAGGGUAAUUAAGCAAUUACGGGGAUACAAUGUUGUUGUCGCUCGAGGAAGAAUGAAUGUUCGCGUACCCUCCUAGAAUCGUAAUAACUCAUGGAGAUCGUUCUUCUCUUUUUAGAACCAGCAAGAUCGAUACGCGAUCGCCGCCUUCGAUAAGUCUCGUCGACAAGGGCGAGGAACUCUGAUUUACUGGCGGCCCUAUAGCAUCGUCGGUCGAGGAGGAACGGAGGUGGCAAAGGAAUGGACGAAGAGAGAAGAAGCGUCGAACGUAGCAAGAGCAACGGGAAAAAUAGAAAAGCGCAUAGGAGGCGGCGGCAGCAGCUGAAGAAGGAGGAAGUCGAGACACGCGUGUAACAAGCGUCGUUGGCAUUAAUUUAGAAUGAGCUCUACGACCCUAUGCAAAUCUCUCGUGUACAGGAAAUCCUAAGAAGCCGACCAGACUAUGAGACGUCGCCUCUCUCUCUGCUCAUCCACACCGUUUUCUUCCAGCCGCGGCAUGUUUGAAAUUACCAUCAACCGCGUACGACUUAUUCCUCCACCGGUCUCCGAUAACGCGUUACUCUUCCUUCUUUUAAGUUAUGACACCUGAACUCUUGCCAACGUUUAAUAUCCCGCAUCUUGCGAUAUCAACACUUCCGUCUUUAGCUAAGAUAACUAAUGGCUAUGGUGAAUCGAAUUAUUCGCCGCUACUUCUACAAGCGUGUUCAGUAAUCAACGAUUUUGCUGUAAACAUUGUCGAUAAAGAUAAAUUAAUUGAUUUAAAAAAAAAAAAAAAAAAAAAAAAGAAGUUACUGGUGUGAAGAAGA